RNAcentral lists this small nucleolar RNA (92 nucleotides) under Mola mola (ocean sunfish). Lineage: Eukaryota; Metazoa; Chordata; Actinopteri; Tetraodontiformes; Molidae. The record is from RNAcentral.
CCUCUCCCCUGAUGACCUGCACUGGGCUCUGAGUGUGUGUGGUGACAAACGUGCAUCUCCGGCCCUGACAAGCCGGAGCUUCUGAGGAGACA